This 253-nucleotide ribosomal RNA is filed under the name uncultured bacterium. RNAcentral describes it as "partial 16S ribosomal RNA". It matches the Rfam family "Bacterial small subunit ribosomal RNA", at positions 524 to 776 of the family's 1533-position model. The record is from RNAcentral.
UACGUAGGGGGCAAGCGUUGUCCGGAUUUAUUGGGCGUAAAGAGCUCGUAGGCGGCUUGUCGCGUCGUUCGUGAAAACCCGGGGCUCAACUCCGGGCUUGCGGGCGAUACGGGCAGGCUAGAGUUCGGUAGGGGAGACUGGAAUUCCUGGUGUAGCGGUGAAAUGCGCAGAUAUCAGGAGGAACACCGGUGGCGAAGGCAGGUCUCUGGGCCGAUACUGACGCUGAGGAGCGAAAGCGUGGGGAGCGAACAGG